This 229-nucleotide ribosomal RNA is filed under the name uncultured bacterium. RNAcentral's name for it is "partial 16S ribosomal RNA". It matches the Rfam family "Bacterial small subunit ribosomal RNA", at positions 91 to 334 of the family's 1533-position model. The record is from RNAcentral.
AUUAGUGGCGGACGGGUGAGUAACGCGUAGGGAUUUAUCGUUGGGUGGGGGGACAACCCUGGGAAACUGGGGCUAAUACCGCAUGACGCCUUUGGGCCAAAGUCGCGAGGCGCCUGACGAGAAGCCUGCGUCCGAUUAGCUAGUUGGUGGGGUAAAGGCUUACCAAGGCAUCGAUCGGUAGCUGGUCUGAGAGGAUGAUCAGCCACACUGGGACUGAGACACGGCCCAG